Long non-coding RNA from Mus musculus (house mouse), 955 nucleotides. RefSeq annotates it as predicted gene, 30110. NCBI's taxonomy places the organism in Eukaryota, Metazoa, Chordata, Mammalia, Rodentia, Muridae. The transcript has 2 exons. The record is from RefSeq and is a predicted model, not a curated record.
UCCCCCGCCCCCCACCCAGCAGGAGGCCUGAGGCCAAGCUGUUUUUUUUUUUUUUUUUAAAAAGUGCACAGGCCGGCUGCAGCGGCUAAGUGGAUUAGAAGAGGGUUGCGCGCCUCCAGCCUGCCCUUGGCGGCGGGCGACGGGCACGCAGGCUGGAGGCGCGCCGGCGUGAUUCCGACCGCGGGAGCCGGGAGGAGGAGCCGGAGGUGGCUGCGGGGGGCUCCGGCCCAGGCGUAGGAAGGGCAAGAGGCGGUUCGGGCCGGGGGCGGUGCCAGGAGAAAAGCUACGAGUCUCCAAGCUGACCCAGGAUCACCCCUUGCUCGGAGAAGGGGAUGUCUCAGAGCCCAGGGAUGGGCGGGAAGGGACCAUGGGGAGCCACAAGUCUGCACCCAGGCGGGGAGUGGGCGAGCGAGAGCCGCUCCGCAGGCGCAGGCAAGUGGGUGGGAAGGAGGGAGGGAGAGGGAGGAAGGAGGUGAGCCGGGAAGAUGCCACUGCCGGGGGCGGGGCGGGGCCGGGGAUCCGGCAGAAGGACUGCAGCAAUGUUUGGUGGGGGCGGGGGCUGCAAUGUCACUCAUUUUGGGGUCAGGUGCGUGUGUCCCAGGCAGGGCCCUCCACUUGUCUGCUGCUCUUAGGUACCACCCAGAGUUUUAGUAAGGGCGGAGGGAAGAGGGGGGAGCUGCAGAGUCGUCCCUGAAGCGGGACGCGAACCAGCAGAGUUGGGAGAAGGUAAACAAGGGCCACGCCCCCUGCCGUCGCCCCGCGAGCGCGCACCCGCCGCUCCGGCCGUCGCCGGUACAUUUCCACUCUCGCGGUGCCUCUCCCCCACCGGACUCCCGCGCAGCACCGGAGAGCUGCUGUCCACUACCCCAGUAUGCACCCUGGCUGCCUGGACUGCGCACCCAGCACUCACCUGGGAACGUUGUCCCCCGCCCCUUAAGAAGAAAAAAAAAAAAAA